Molecule: non-coding RNA, 29 nt
Filed under: Homo sapiens (human)
Lineage: Eukaryota; Metazoa; Chordata; Mammalia; Primates; Hominidae
Source: RNAcentral
UGCUCAUUAAAGAAACCAAGUCAGGUUGC